This 380-nucleotide ribosomal RNA is filed under the name Streptomycetaceae bacterium ACTS229. Its description in RNAcentral is "bacterial SSU rRNA". It matches the Rfam family "Bacterial small subunit ribosomal RNA", at positions 19 to 403 of the family's 1533-position model. The record is from RNAcentral. Lineage: Bacteria; Bacillati; Actinomycetota; Actinomycetes; Kitasatosporales; Streptomycetaceae.
AUGGCUCAGGACGAACGCUGGCGGCGUGCUUAACACAUGCAAGUCGAACGAUGAAGCCCUUCGGGGUGGAUUAGUGGCGAACGGGUGAGUAACACGUGGGCAAUCUGCCCUGCACUCUGGGACAAGCCCUGGAAACGGGGUCUAAUACCGGAUAUCACUCUUGCAGGCAUCUGUGAGGGUCGAAAGCUCCGGCGGUGCAGGAUGAGCCCGCGGCCUAUCAGCUUGUUGGUGAGGUAAUGGCUCACCAAGGCGACGACGGGUAGCCGGCCUGAGAGGGCGACCGGCCACACUGGGACUGAGACACGGCCCAGACUCCUACGGGAGGCAGCAGUGGGGAAUAUUGCACAAUGGGCGAAAGCCUGAUGCAGCGACGCCGCGUG